This 940-nucleotide long non-coding RNA is filed under the name Chlamydomonas reinhardtii. Its description in RNAcentral is "long non-coding RNA (CREI_LNC001363)". The record is from RNAcentral. Lineage: Eukaryota; Viridiplantae; Chlorophyta; Chlorophyceae; Chlamydomonadales; Chlamydomonadaceae.
UACACAUACCCUUUUUGCUUGCUGGUCCCUUUGGCUACCUCGCCGCGCUCCUUCAGCCCCAUGCGCCUCCAUGUUUGCGCACAUAUCACCUGCAUACAUAGCACCACCAGCGUUGCAAGAGGCAUGGUGACAAGCCUUUCCCCGAGUCUCACAUGCUGUAUACAUGCCGUGUUCGUUGAGCUGCCCACUGCACACAUGUCUUUGUGCUCCUUUUCAUGUUAAUUGCGUCGCAAAACCUGACUUACCACCAAAACGCAAAAGCGCCAUUGCCAGCAGCACAUGCACCGAUGCCGAGCGCGCAGACGAAGGUUGACAUGAGGAUAAGGCUGCCGGGGAAUUGUAAGCACAUAUUUGCAUGCAUAAGUGAUUGCAAACUAUUAGGACCCCGUGCGAAAGCGCAGGCAGGGCAAACGCAUGGUUGUUGACCGCGACAGCAAAACACUGCUGUAGACGCUUUGAGCUGAUACAAUGCGAGUUCUCAGUCAGAACCUUACAUUCUCGGGCUGUGAGCCUGUUUGGCCUUGAAUCUUGUGCAGGUCGGCGAUGCUGAGCGACAAAGGCCUCCCCUUUGACCAAGUUUGUAGCACCUCCGCCAACCCCUCAGGCAUGCUCGCAAGCUUGUGUCUAACAAAGUUGCUAUGAAAUAGCAUCAUGCAGUAUCAUAGAGGGUUUGUGAACGUGGAACACUGCAUGCUGAUAUCGCUUGCAACGGUGAUAGGCUGUAACAGCUCAGCGAUACAUUUAACAGCUUGUAAGUAUUAAGUCUGUAGCGUAUAAUAUGAGUCUUAUGAGAGAGUCAUACUAUUAAGUUGAGAAGCUGAAUGUAGGGUCCCCCCAAGCAGCAGUGCUGCCCCAUUGCGCAUGCCAGCUCCCUUCCCAGAUCUGGUAAUGCCAUUGCUAGGACGCAUAAUCCAAUGUGAGCGGUUGCGUCAGAUGCGGG